CAGUCGCCACGGUAACACCGAGGGUGCGAGCGUUAAUCGGAUUUACUGGGCGUAAAGCGUGCGUAGGCGGCUUCUUAAGUCGGAUGUGAAAUCCCUGAGCUUAACUUAGGAAUUGCAUUCGAUACUGGGAAGCUAGAGUAUGGGAGAGGAUGGUAGAAUUCCAGGUGUAGCGGUGAAAUGCGUAGAGAUCUGGAGGAAUACCGAUGGCGAAGGCAGCCAUCUGGCCUAAUACUGACGCUGAGGUACGAAAGCAUGGGGAGCAAACAGGAUUAGAUACCCGGGUAGUCCCUGUCUCUUAUAC
Molecule: ribosomal RNA, 301 nt
Filed under: uncultured bacterium
Lineage: Bacteria
Description: partial 16S ribosomal RNA
Rfam family: Bacterial small subunit ribosomal RNA
Source: RNAcentral